RNAcentral lists this transfer RNA (73 nucleotides) under Macropodus hongkongensis. RNAcentral describes it as "tRNA-Lys". It matches the Rfam family "tRNA". Rfam says of the family: Transfer RNA (tRNA) molecules are approximately 80 nucleotides in length. Their secondary structure includes four short double-helical elements and three loops (D, anti-codon, and T loops). Lineage: Eukaryota; Metazoa; Chordata; Actinopteri; Anabantiformes; Osphronemidae. The record is from RNAcentral.
CACUAAGAAGCUAAACGGUAAAAGCGUUAGCCUUUUAAGCUAAAGAAUGGUGACUACCAACCACCCUUAGUGA